Molecule: ribosomal RNA, 491 nt
Filed under: uncultured bacterium
Lineage: Bacteria
Description: partial 16S ribosomal RNA
Rfam family: Bacterial small subunit ribosomal RNA
Source: RNAcentral
AGUGAACGCUGGCGGUAGGCCUAACACAUGCAAGUCGAACGGCAGCACAGUAAGAGCUUGCUCUUACGGGUGGCGAGUGGCGGACGGGUGGGGAAUACAUCGGAAUCUACUUUUUCGUGGGGGAUAACGUAGGGAAACUUACGCUAAUACCGCAUACGACCUACGGGUGAAAGCAGGGGAUCUUCGGACCUUGCGCGAUUGAAUGAGCCGAUGUCGGAUUAGCUAGUUGGCGGGGUAAAGGCCCACCAAGGCGACGAUCCGUAGCUGGUCUGAGAGGAUGAUCAGCCACACUGGAACUGAGACACGGUCCAGACUCCUACGGGAGGCAGCAGUGGGGAAUAUUGGACAAUGGGCGCAGCCUGAUCCAGCCAUACCGCGUGGGUGAAGAAGGCCUUCGGGUUGUAAAGCCCUUUUGUUGGGAAAGAAAAGCAGCAGGUUAAUACCCCACUGUUCUGACGGUACCCAAAGAAUAAGCACCGGCUAACUUCGUG